AUACGUAGGGGGCGAGCGUUGCUCGGAUUCACUGGGCGUAAAGCGGGCGUAGGCGGCCGGCCAAGUCGGGCGUGAAAUUCCGGGGCUCAACCUCGGAACUGCGCUCGAUACUGGUCGGCUAGAGUUCGGGAGAGGGUAGCGGAAUUCCGUGUGUAGCGGUGAAAUGCGUAGAGAUACGGAGGAACACCGGAGGCGAAGGCGGCUACCUGGACCGGCACUGACGCUGAGGCCCGAAAGCGUGGGGAGCAAACAGGAUUAGAAACCCUAGUAGUCC
This 274-nucleotide ribosomal RNA is filed under the name uncultured bacterium. Its description in RNAcentral is "partial 16S ribosomal RNA". It matches the Rfam family "Bacterial small subunit ribosomal RNA", at positions 523 to 796 of the family's 1533-position model. The record is from RNAcentral.